RNAcentral lists this transfer RNA (75 nucleotides) under Lactobacillus helveticus. RNAcentral's name for it is "tRNA-Gly". It matches the Rfam family "tRNA". Rfam says of the family: Transfer RNA (tRNA) molecules are approximately 80 nucleotides in length. Their secondary structure includes four short double-helical elements and three loops (D, anti-codon, and T loops). Further hydrogen bonds mediate the characteristic L-shaped molecular structure. tRNAs have two regions of fundamental functional importance: the anti-codon, which is responsible for specific mRNA codon recognition, and the 3' end, to which the tRNAs corresponding amino acid is attached (by aminoacyl-tRNA synthetases). tRNAs cope with the degeneracy of the genetic code in two manners: having more than one tRNA (with a specific anti-codon) for a particular amino acid; and 'wobble' base-pairing, i.e. permitting non-standard base-pairing at the 3rd anti-codon position. The record is from RNAcentral. RNAcentral also lists the same sequence under 40 other names. Lineage: Bacteria; Bacillati; Bacillota; Bacilli; Lactobacillales; Lactobacillaceae.
GCGGAAGUAGUUCAGUGGUAGAACAUCACCUUGCCAUGGUGGGGGUCGCGGGUUCGAAUCCCGUCUUCCGCUCUA